Molecule: long non-coding RNA, 1495 nt
Filed under: Medicago truncatula (barrel medic)
Lineage: Eukaryota; Viridiplantae; Streptophyta; Magnoliopsida; Fabales; Fabaceae
Description: lncRNA gene49885
Source: RNAcentral
GGUAAACUCUUGCAUUCAGAGUUAGAAGCAUAGUAAUGGAUGCACACAGCUUACUUUCUGAAUUCUGAUGAUGGAAACUAAAAAACAGUGCUUCAAAAGUCCUCUGCUCUGCUCUCUCUCACACUACAAUGUUCCUGUAAGAUCUGGUGAUAAUCUGUUUCUUUUGUCCAAUAUUCUUUGUUCUUAACUUCUCAGUGGUAUUAUUUUUCCAAGCUUUUUAGGGGUUACACUUACACUUCCUUCUCAGUCACAUACAUCUAAGUUACAUAAGAUUAUAAUGCGAGGAUGAUAAUUGUGAACUUUGAUACUUAUCUCCAGAAAAUAUUAAAUGAGUGGAAUAAUAAUACAAUCCUUGAGCUAACAAACUUGUAUGAGUUGAUGAUCCUUUAUACUGGGGAGUUUUGAAUCAUUGUUUUCUAAUGUGCUUCCUUUAUGAAGGGGAGUUCAAGAAAAUAUUUGAAUCCUUGAUUGUUACUUUUUUUUAUUUUUGAAUAAUUACUUGAUUGAUACUUAGUUUUGUGUCUCAUGCAUUUGUAUUUCUUUGUCAUGUAUAUAUGUUAUGAUUUUCACAUUUAUGUUUAUAUUUAUAUUUUACGAAACCAACACAUUCACAUAAUAAAGAUAUUAACAGAUAUAUUUUUUUAUCUAUGAUGAUAAAAAGUAAAAGCAACAAUCAUCCAAAUCUCAAUCUAUCUAUUUUCCAUUCGUUCUUGAUAUAAAUUGGCAGAGAAACUUUAUGGAAGAGAUAAAGUCAUAAAACCCUUAAAAUUCAUCAGUAAUUUCCAUCAAGUUACCAAAAUAAAUAGAAACAUACAUAUUUACCAAGUAGAAAAUAUCUCAAAUCGAUAUUUUUACCCCUGAAAUGAAAAGUGGGGAGGUGAGCGAUGAAAUUGGGGAAAAUGGUGGUCUAAAAGGUCACGCGUGGUACUCACACGCCGGGAAUUCUGUUGUGAGUGAGUGUCAUGCAGAGAGAUAUAUACAAUAAAAGUUGAAAUAACUUAAAAAGUUAACCUUAGUCGACACAUGCAGAGAGAUUAUUUCCACGCGUGUAAAAAUAACUUAAAAAGUUGACCUUAGUCGACACAUGUUAUUUUUUUCUUCAAAUGUAUGAGCUAAAAAUUAAAUCUCCACUAAAAAUGGUUAAAAUAUAUACUAAAACAUAUACGAUUUGUACCACACUAUGUUGAUAACUUCUUGUAGUUUUUAGUUUAUUAUAAUAUUUUAGAGUUUAAAGCUUAAUGAACGUUACUUACAGUCAUGCUUUAUAUGGAUUGAGCACCAAUUUGUCUUCAUAUAUCCUUUAAAAAUUACUAUCCAUCAAUAGUACGAGUCUGCUUUCAUAAAAACAAAACACAUGAACAGAUGAAAUUUAACCAUCCUAUUUCUAUUGAAGCUCGAAAGAAAAAUCUAUUGAAGCUAGUACAAUUUCCUUCAAAAAAAUUGAAGCUUCUACAAUUAAUAUUGCAACUAUUUUCAGGUCACUUCAUAUAUACCA